Molecule: long non-coding RNA, 451 nt
Organism: Magnolia sinica
Lineage: Eukaryota; Viridiplantae; Streptophyta; Magnoliopsida; Magnoliales; Magnoliaceae
Exons: 3
Source: RefSeq, a predicted model, not a curated record
UCGCCCCAUCCCCAAAUCGCGCACCCAUAUCCCUAAAUCCCGAAAGUCUCUCUCUCUUCCUCUCUCCAACGUCUCUCGAUCUCCCUUCUCCACUCCGGCCUCUCUUGAUAUGGCUUCCAUUUCCAUUGCUUGUUGAAGACGCGGAUCUCUCGGUCGUUGCCCUCCUUGCUGGAACACGCCAAAGUCCGAGAAGGCCCGCAAGAGAAGAAGCACCAGCAACAGCCGCAACAGUAGCUCCCCUUCUCCAAUAGCCGCAGCAGGUGCCUUUGUUUGGAGUCGCAAAGCAUUGGUUUCAGAGUACGGAAGAUGUUCGACUCCAUUCCUCAAAAAUUGCAUUUUUCUUCUCUCCAUUCCUCAAAAAUUGCAUGGUCGUACCAGCCUGAUGGAUGAUUGGAUCUCACCCCUAUGUUCAUGAAAAGGGUGAUGUUCUAACUCAAUUUUUGUGCCAUAG